This 500-nucleotide ribosomal RNA is filed under the name uncultured bacterium. Its description in RNAcentral is "partial 16S ribosomal RNA". It matches the Rfam family "Bacterial small subunit ribosomal RNA", at positions 29 to 523 of the family's 1533-position model. The record is from RNAcentral.
AUUGAACGCUGGCGGCAUGCCUUACACAUGCAAGUCGAACGGCAGCACGGGAGCAAUCCUGGUGGCGAGUGGCGAACGGGUGAGUAAUAUAUCGGAACGUGCCCAGUCGUGAGGGAUAACGCAGCGAAAGCUGUGCUAAUACCGCAUACGAUCUACGGAUGAAAGCGGGGGAUCGCAAGACCUCGCGCGAUUGGAGCGGCCGAUAUCAGAUUAGCUAGUUGGUGGGGUAAAGGCCCACCAAGGCGACGAUCUGUAGCUGGUCUGAGAGGACGACCAGCCACACUGGAACGGAGACACGGUCCAGACUCCUACGGGAGGCAGCAGUGGGGAAUGUUGGACAAUGGGCGCAAGCCUGAUCCAGCAAUGCCGCGUGCAGGAUGAAGGCCUUCGGGUUGUAAACUGCUUUUGUACGGAACGAAACGGCCCUUUCUAAUACAGGGGGCUAAUGACGGUACCGUAAGAACAAGCACCGGCUAACUACGUGCCAGCAGCCGCAGUAA